Molecule: ribosomal RNA, 745 nt
Filed under: uncultured Anaerococcus sp.
Lineage: Bacteria; Bacillati; Bacillota; Tissierellia; Tissierellales; Peptoniphilaceae
Description: bacterial SSU rRNA
Rfam family: Bacterial small subunit ribosomal RNA
Source: RNAcentral
GAUAAACGCUGGCGGCGUGCAUAACACAUGCAAGUCGAACGAUGAACCUUAUUAGAUUUCUUCGGAAUGAAAUUAAGCGGAUUAGUGGCGAACGGGUGAGUAACACGUGAGUAACCUGCCUUACACAAGGGGAUAGCCUUUGGAAACGAAGAAUAAUACCCUAUAAAGUCAAAAUAUCGCAUGAUAUAGUGACCAAAGAUUUAUCGGUGUAAGAUGGACUUGCGUCUGAUUAGCUAGUUGGUGAGAUAAAAGCCCACCAAGGCGACGAUCAGUAGCCGGCUUGAGAGAGUGUACGGCCACAUUGGGACUGAGACGCGGCCCAAACUCCUACGGGAGGCAGCAGUGGGGAAUUUUGCACAAUGGGGGAAACCCUGAUGCAGCGACGCCGCGUGAUUUAGAAGGCCUUCGGGUUGUAAAAAUCUUUUUUAUGGGAUGAAAAUGACAGUACCAUAAGAAUAAGGUCCGGCUAAAUACGUGCCAGCAGCCGCGGUAAUACGUAUGGACCGAGCGUUGUCCGGAAUCAUUGGGCGUAAAGGGUACGUAGGCGGCCUAGUAAGUUAGAAGUGAAAUAAUAUAGCUCAACUAUAUAAAGCUUUUAAAACUGUUAGGCUUGAGAGAUGAAAGGGAAAGUGGAAUUCCUAGUGUAGCGGUGAAAUGCGCAGAUAUUAGGAAGAAUACCGGUGGCGAAGGCGACUUUCUGGUCAUCAUCUGACGCUGAGGUACGAAAGCGUGGGUAGCAAACAGG